Long non-coding RNA from Phyllostomus discolor (pale spear-nosed bat), 104 nucleotides. RefSeq lists it as uncharacterized. The record is from RefSeq and is a predicted model, not a curated record. NCBI's taxonomy places the organism in Eukaryota, Metazoa, Chordata, Mammalia, Chiroptera, Phyllostomidae. The transcript is spliced from 3 exons.
GGAGGUGUGGAGGGACUUGCUGUCUCUUUCCCAUUGCCUGUUCCCAUCUGAAACCUCAUAGCUCUGACUUCUAUGAUCCCUUUGGAAUUUGAAAGUGACCUUUC